RNAcentral lists this ribosomal RNA (781 nucleotides) under Lactobacillus sp. M10. RNAcentral's name for it is "bacterial SSU rRNA". It matches the Rfam family "Bacterial small subunit ribosomal RNA", at positions 336 to 1104 of the family's 1533-position model. Lineage: Bacteria; Bacillati; Bacillota; Bacilli; Lactobacillales; Lactobacillaceae. The record is from RNAcentral.
CUACUACGGGAGGCAGCAGUAGGGAAUCUUCCACAAUGGACGCAAGUCUGAUGGAGCAACGCCGCGUGAGUGAAGAAGGCUUUCGGGUCGUAAAACUCUGUUGUUGGAGAAGAAUGGUCGGCAGAGUAACUGUUGUCGGCGUGACGGUAUCCAACCAGAAAGCCACGGCUAACUACGUGCCAGCAGCCGCGGUAAUACGUAGGUGGCAAGCGUUAUCCGGAUUUAUUGGGCGUAAAGCGAGCGCAGGCGGUUUUUUAAGUCUGAUGUGAAAGCCCUCGGCUUAACCGAGGAAGCGCAUCGGAAACUGGGAAACUUGAGUGCAGAAGAGGACAGUGGAACUCCAUGUGUAGCGGUGAAAUGCGUAGAUAUAUGGAAGAACACCAGUGGCGAAGGCGGCUGUCUGGUCUGUAACUGACGCUGAGGCUCGAAAGCAUGGGUAGCGAACAGGAUUAGAUACCCUGGUAGUCCAUGCCGUAAACGAUGAAUGCUAGGUGUUGGAGGGUUUCCGCCCUUCAGUGCCGCAGCUAACGCAUUAAGCAUUCCGCCUGGGGAGUACGACCGCAAGGUUGAAACUCAAAGGAAUUGACGGGGGCCCGCACAAGCGGUGGAGCAUGUGGUUAAUUCGAAGCACGCGAAGACCUUACCAGGUCUUGAAUCUUUUGAUCCCUGAGAGAUCAGGUUCCCCUUCGGGGCAAAAUGACAGGUGGGUGCAUGGUUGGUCGCCAGCUUCCGUGUUCCUGAGAAUGUUGGGUUAAGGUCCCGCAACGAGGCGGCNNAACCC